UGAGGAAUCUUGCGCAAUGGGGGAAACCCUGACGCAGCAACGCCGCGUGAGUGAGGAAGGCCUUCGGGUCGUAAAGCUCUGUCAGAUGGGAAGAAAUGGGUGGGGGCUAAUAUCGUCCAUCCUUGACGGUACCAUCAGAGGAAGCACCGGCUAACUCCGUGCCAGCAGCCGCGGUAAUACGGGGGGUGCAAGCGUUGUUCGGAAUCAUUGGGCGUAAAGCGCGCGCAGGCGGGUUGGUAAGUCAGAUGUGAAAUCCCUGGGCUUAACCCAGGAAGGGCAUUUGAUACUGCCUGGCUAGAGUACGGGAGAGGAAAGUGGAAUUCCUGGUGUAGAGGUGAAAUUCGUAGAUAUCAGGAGGAACACCGGUGGCGAAGGCGACUUUCUGGCCCGAUACUGACGCUCAGGCGCGAAAGCGUGGGGAGCAAACA
Molecule: ribosomal RNA, 428 nt
Filed under: uncultured prokaryote
Description: bacterial SSU rRNA
Rfam family: Bacterial small subunit ribosomal RNA
Source: RNAcentral